GGGUUGUGAGGUUAAGCGACUAAGCGUACACGGUGGAUGCCCUGGCAGUCAGAGGCGAUGAAGGACGUGCUAAUCUGCGAAAAGCGUCGGUAAGGUGAUAUGAACCGUUAUAACCGGCGAUGUCCGAAUGGGGAAACCCAGUGCAAUUCGUUGCACUAUCGUUAACUGAAUACAUAGGUUAACGAGGCGAACCGGGGGAACUGAAACAUCUAAGUACCCCGAGGAAAAGAAAUCAACCGAGAUUCCCCCAGUAGCGGCGAGCGAACGGGGAGCAGCCCAGAGUCUGAAUCAGCUUGUGUGUUAGUGGAACGGUCUGGAAAGUCCGACGGUACAGGGUGAUAGUCCCGUACACCAAAAUGCACAGGCUGUGAACUCGAAGAGUAGGGCGGGACACGUGGUAUCCUGUCUGAAUAUGGGGGGACCAUCCUCCAAGGCUAAAUACUCCUGACUGACCGAUAGUGAACCAGUACCGUGAGGGAAAGGCGAAAAGAACCCCGGCGAGGGGAGUGAAAAAGAACCUGAAACCGUGUACGUACAAGCAGUGGGAGCACCUUCGGGUGUGACUGCGUACCUUUUGUAUAAUGGGUCAGCGACUUAUAUUCUGUAGCAAGGUUAACCGUAUAGGGGAGCCGCAGGGAAACCGAGUCUUAACUGGGCGUUAAGUUGCAGGGUAUAGACCCGAAACCCGGUGAUCUAGCCAUGGGCAGGUUGAAGGUUGGGUAACACUAACUGGAGGACCGAACCGACUAAUGUUGAAAAAUUAGCGGAUGACUUGUGGCUGGGGGUGAAAGGCCAAUCAAACCGGGAGAUAGCUGGUUCUCCCCGAAAGCUAUUUAGGUAGCGCCUCGUGAACUCAUCUUCGGGGUAGAGCACUGUUUCGGCUAGGGGGUCAUCCCGACUUACCAACCCGAUGCAAACUACGAAUACCGAAGAAUGUUAUCACGGGAGACACACGGCGGGUGCUAACGUCCGUCGUGAAGAGGGAAACAACCCAGACCGCCAGCUAAGGUCCCAAAGUCAUGGUUAAGUGGGAAACGAUGUGGGAAGGCACAGACAGCCAGGAUGUUGGCUUAGAAGCAGCCAUCAUUUAAAGAAAGCGUAAUAGCUCACUGGUCGAGUCGGCCUGCGCGGAAGAUGUAACGGGGCUAAACCAUGCACCGAAGCUGCGGCAGCGACACUAUGUGUUGUUGGGUAGGGGAGCGUUCUGUAAGCCUGCGAAGGUGACCUGUGAGGGUUGCUGGAGGUAUCAGAAGUGCGAAUGCUGACAUAAGUAACGAUAAAGCGGGUGAAAAGCCCGCUCGCCGGAAGACCAAGGGUUCCUGUCCAACGUUAAUCGGGGCAGGGUGAGUCGACCCCUAAGGCGAGGCCGAAAGGCGUAGUCGAUGGGAAACAGGUUAAUAUUCCUGUACUUGGUGUUACUGCGAAGGGGGGACGGAGAAGGCUAUGUUAGCCGGGCGACGGUUGUCCCGGUUUAAGCAUGUAGGCUGGUUGUCCAGGCAAAUCCGGAUAAUCAAGGCUGAGGUGUGAUGACGAGGCACUACGGUGCUGAAGUAACAAAUGCCCUGCUUCCAGGAAAAGCCUCUAAGCAUCAGGUAACAUCAAAUCGUACCCCAAACCGACACAGGUGGUCAGGUAGAGAAUACCAAGGCGCUUGAGAGAACUCGGGUGAAGGAACUAGGCAAAAUGGUGCCGUAACUUCGGGAGAAGGCACGCUGGUGUGUAGGUGAAGUCCCUGCGGAUGGAGCUGAGACCAGUCGAAGAUACCAGCUGGCUGCAACUGUUUAUUAAAAACACAGCACUGUGCAAACACGAAAGUGGACGUAUACGGUGUGACGCCUGCCCGGUGCCGGAAGGUUAAUUGAUGGGGUUAUCCGUAAGGAGAAGCUCUUGAUCGAAGCCCCGGUAAACGGCGGCCGUAACUAUAACGGUCCUAAGGUAGCGAAAUUCCUUGUCGGGUAAGUUCCGACCUGCACGAAUGGCGUAAUGAUGGCCAGGCUGUCUCCACCCGAGACUCAGUGAAAUUGAACUCGCUGUGAAGAUGCAGUGUACCCGCGGCAAGACGGAAAGACCCCGUGAACCUUUACUAUAGCUUGACACUGAACAUUGAGCCUUGAUGUGUAGGAUAGGUGGGAGGCUUUGAAGCGUGGACGCCAGUCUGCGUGGAGCCAACCUUGAAAUACCACCCUUUAAUGUUUGAUGUUCUAACGUUGGCCCCUGACCGGGGUUGCGGACAGUGUCUGGUGGGUAGUUUGACUGGGGCGGUCUCCUCCCAAAGCGUAACGGAGGAGCACGAAGGUUAGCUAAUCCUGGUCGGACAUCAGGAGGUUAGUGCAAUGGCAUAAGCUAGCUUGACUGCGAGCGUGACGGCGCGAGCAGGUGCGAAAGCAGGUCAUAGUGAUCCGGUGGUUCUGAAUGGAAGGGCCAUCGCUCAACGGAUAAAAGGUACUCCGGGGAUAACAGGCUGAUACCGCCCAAGAGUUCAUAUCGACGGCGGUGUUUGGCACCUCGAUGUCGGCUCAUCACAUCCUGGGGCUGAAGUAGGUCCCAAGGGUAUGGCUGUUCGCCAUUUAAAGUGGUACGCGAGCUGGGUUUAGAACGUCGUGAGACAGUUCGGUCCCUAUCUGCCGUGGGCGCUGGAGAAUUGAGGGGGGCUGCUCCUAGUACGAGAGGACCGGAGUGGACGCAUCACUGGUGUUCGGGUUGUCAUGCCAAUGGCACUGCCCGGUAGCUAAAUGCGGAAGAGAUAAGUGCUGAAAGCAUCUAAGCACGAAACUUGCCCCGAGAUGAGUUCUCCCUGAGACUUUAAGUCUCCUGAAGGAACGUUAAAGACGAUGACGUUGAUAGGCCGGGUGUGUAAGCGCAGCGAUGCGUUGAGCUAACCGGUACUAAUGAACCGUGAGGCUUAACCUUACAACGCCGAAG
Molecule: ribosomal RNA, 2922 nt
Filed under: Klebsiella pneumoniae
Lineage: Bacteria; Pseudomonadati; Pseudomonadota; Gammaproteobacteria; Enterobacterales; Enterobacteriaceae
Description: bacterial LSU rRNA
Rfam family: Bacterial large subunit ribosomal RNA
Source: RNAcentral